This 406-nucleotide ribosomal RNA is filed under the name uncultured bacterium. RNAcentral's name for it is "partial 16S ribosomal RNA". It matches the Rfam family "Bacterial small subunit ribosomal RNA", at positions 30 to 526 of the family's 1533-position model. The record is from RNAcentral.
AUUGAACGCUGGCGGCAGGCCUAACACAUGCAAGUCGAGCGAGCGGCGGACGGGUGAGUAAUGUAUGGGGAUCUGCCUGAUGGAGGGGGAUAACUACUGGAAACGGUAGCUAAUACCGCAUACUAUCGGAUGUGCCCAGAUGGGAUUAGCUAGUAGGUGGGGUAAAGGCUCACCUAGGCGACGAUCCCUAGCUGGUCUGAGAGGAUGACCAGCCACACUGGGACUGAGACACGGUCCAGACGCCUACGGGAGGCAGCAGUGGGGAAUAUUGCACAAUGGGCGCAAGCCUGAUGCAGCAAUGCCGCGUGUAUGAAGAAGGCCUUAGGGUUGUAAAGUACUUUCAGCGGGGAGGCGUUACCCGCAGAAGAAGCACCGGCUAACUCCGUGCCAGCAGCCGCGAUAAUAC